UAGGGCUUUGCGGCAUGUCUAUAAUGCAGUCGGACGGGAUCCAUUGAUAGCUUGCUAUCAAUGGUGAGAGUGGCGCACGGGUGCGUAACGCGUGAGCAACCUGCCUCCAUCAGGGGGAUAGCCUCUCGAAAGAGAGAUUAACACCGCAUAACAUAAUGUUCCGGCAUCGGAGGAUUAUUAAAUAUUUAUAGGAUGGAGAUGGGCUCGCGUGACAUUAGCUAGUUGGUAGGGUAACGGCUUACCAAGGCGACGAUGUCUAGGGGCUCUGAGAGGAGAAUCCCCCACACUGGUACUGAGACACGGACCAGACUCCUACGGGAGGCAGCAGUAAGGAAUAUUGGUCAAUGGGCGGAAGCCUGAACCAGCCAUGCCGCGUGCAGGAUGACUGCCCUAUGGGUUGUAAACUGCUUUUGUCCGGGAAUAAACCUCCUUACGAGUAGGGAGCUGAAUGUACCGGAAGAAUAAGGAUCGGCUAACUCCGUGCCAGCAGCCGCGGUAAUACGGAGGAUCCGAGCGUUAUCCGGAUUUAUUGGGUUUAAAGGGUGCGUAGGCGGCCCGUUAAGUCAGGGGUGAAAUACGGUGGCUCAACCAUCGCAGUGCCUUUGAUACUGACGGGCUUGAAUCCAUAUGAAGUGGGCGGAAUAAGACAAGUAGCGGUGAAAUGCAUAGAUAUGUCUUAGAACUCCGAUUGCGAAGGCAGCUCACUAAGCUGGUAUUGACGCUGAUGCACGAAAGCGUGGGAUCGAACAGGAUUAGAUACCCUGGUAGUCACGCCCUAAACGAUGAUAACUCGAUGUUGGCGAUAGACAGCCAGCGUCCCAACGAAAGCGUUAAGUUAUCCACCUGGGGAGUACGCCCGCAAGGGUGAAACUCAAAGGAUUGACGGGGGCCCGCACAAGCGGAGGAUCAUGUGUUUAAUUCGAUGAUACGCGAAGGAACCUUACCCGGUCUUGAAGGUAAUGGAAGGAUGCAAAGAUCAUCCGUCCUUCGGAACCAAACUAAGUGCUAGCAUGGGCUGUCGUCAGCUCGGGCCGCGAGUGUUGGUUAGUCCCGCAACAACGCCACCCCCUAUGUUUACUUGCCGUCAUGUUAUGCGGCGACUCUAACCGAACUGCCUGGCCAACGUUGAGAAGGUGGUACACGUCAGUCAUUCCCUGUCUUUACCUCUCGGCCUACCACUUGCGUUCAAUGUAACG
RNAcentral lists this ribosomal RNA (1196 nucleotides) under Sphingobacterium thalpophilum. RNAcentral describes it as "bacterial SSU rRNA". It matches the Rfam family "Bacterial small subunit ribosomal RNA", at positions 31 to 1237 of the family's 1533-position model. Lineage: Bacteria; Pseudomonadati; Bacteroidota; Sphingobacteriia; Sphingobacteriales; Sphingobacteriaceae. The record is from RNAcentral.